UGCAGUCGACGAUGAAGCCCUGCUUGCAGGGUGGAUUAGUGGCGAACGGGUGAGUAACACGUGAGUAACCUGCCCCCGACUUUGGGAUAAGCCCGGGAAACUGGGUCUAAUACCGGAUAUGACUUCUUACCGCAUGGUGGGUUGUUGAAAGAUUUAUCGGUGGGGGAUGGACUCGCGGCCUAUCAGCUUGUUGGUGAGGUAAUGGCUCACCAAGGCGACGACGGGUAGCCGGCCUGAGAGGGUGACCGGCCACACUGGGACUGAGACACGGCCCAGACUCCUACGGGAGGCAGCAGUGGGGAAUAUUGCACAAUGGGCGAAAGCCUGAUGCAGCGACGCCGCGUGAGGGAUGACGGCCUUCGGGUUGUAAACCUCUUUCAGUAGGGAAGAAGCGAAAGUGACGGUACCUGCAGAAGAAGCGCCGGCUAACUACGUGCCAGCAGCCGCGGUAAUACGUAGGGCGCAAGCGUUAUCCGGAUUUUAUUUGGGCGUAAAGAGCUCGUAGGCGGUUUGUCGCGUCUGCCGUGAAAGUCCGAGGCUCAACCUCGGAUCUGCGGUGGGUACGGGCAGACUAGAGUGAUGUAGGGGAGACUGGAAUUCCUGGUGUAGCGGUGAAAUGCGCAGAUAUCAGGAGGAACACCGAUGGCGAAGGCAGGUCUCUGGGCAUUUACUGACGCUGAGGAGCGAAAGCAUGGGGAGCGAACAGGAUUAGAUACCCUGGUAGUCCAUGCCGUAAACGUUGGGCACUAGGUGUGGGGGACAUUCCACGUUUUCCGCGCCGUAGCUAACGCAUUAAGUGCCCCGCCUGGGGAGUACGGCCGCAAGGCUAAAACUCAAAGGAAUUGACGGGGGCCCGCACAAGCGGCGGAGCAUGCGGAUUAUUUCGAUGCAACGCGAAGACCCUUACCAAGGCUUGACAUGUGCCAGACCGGGAUCAGAGAUGGUCUUUCCCUUCGGGGCUGGUUCACCAGGUGGUGCAUGGUUGUCGUCAGCUCGUGUCGUGAGAUGUUGGGUUAAGUCCCGCAACGAGCGCAACCCUCGUUCCAUGUUGCCAGCACGUAGUGGUGGGGACUCAUGGGAGACUGCCGGGGUCAACUCGGAGGAAGGUGGGGAUGACGUCAAAUCAUCAUGCCCCUUAUGUCUUGGGCUUCACGCAUGCUACAAUGGCCGGUACAAUGGGUUGCGAUACUGUGAGGUGGAGCUAAUCCCUAAAAGCCGGUCUCAGUUCGGAUUGGGGUCUGCAACUCGACCCCAUGAAGUCGGAGUCGCUAGUAAUCGCAGAUCAGCAACGCUGCGGUGAAUACGUUCCCGGGCCUUGUACACACCGCCCGUCAAGUCACGAAAGUUGGUAACACCCGAAGCCGAUGGCCUAACCACCUUGUGUGGGGGGAGUCGUCGAAGGUGGGACUGGCGAUUGGGACUAAGUCGAACAAGAGCC
RNAcentral lists this ribosomal RNA (1438 nucleotides) under Glutamicibacter sp. RNAcentral's name for it is "bacterial SSU rRNA". It matches the Rfam family "Bacterial small subunit ribosomal RNA". The record is from RNAcentral. RNAcentral also lists the same sequence under 1 other name. Lineage: Bacteria; Bacillati; Actinomycetota; Actinomycetes; Micrococcales; Micrococcaceae.